UCUCUCUGUGUGUGAGGGACAAUGGCUGCUGGGAGAAGCUUCUUAGGAUGUGCUGUGUUGUGUCAGUGGGAUCUGUCUGAAGUGAAACAGACAGAGGAAGGAUCCCUAAACCUUAACAGGGAGAAAUCUGUGCAGUAGCCUCUCUGUAAGGAGCAGAGGGAAUACUGCUGAGGUGAAAGUAUAAGAUGAAACUGUAAAGCCUGAGGGAGACCUGCAAUUCAAGUGGGAACGUGCCCAUGUUCGAAUAAGCACGAGAUUACAAAUAUAUUCUUCUCAGUUAUAUGUUCAUGAAAGCAAAGUUCUUUUGGAUAUAAAGAGUCUGGGCAUUGUAUAGUCUUUACAAAGAAGCUACCAAUCACCUGGAAGUGUUAUUUAGCUUCCUAGCUGUAAGCUACUCUGUUCCUUUGCAUAUCACCAAAAUUUUAUUUUGUAUAUGCACACAACAGACUGCAGCUCCCAGAAUUCUUUGGGGGAAGCCAUGACUGCUCAAAGUGGUAUCAUGGUGCUUUAAGCUUGCGGUGUGGAUUUAGCCGGGGGGGGGGGGAGGGUUUUCUGAAGAGAUUUCUGGCAGAGUGGAAAAUGAGGAGACUGCAGAGAGAGAGAAAAUGAAAAGUGCAACCUCCUUCCCUCAUAUUGUCCAGCAUUUCUUUAACAGAAGCUCUGCAGUCAAGGGAGUGACAGAGAUUGAAGCCCACAGCUUUGCUCCUGUCCAGAGAAAGGUCCGAGAGACUUACCAUUCUGGCCUGAGCGGUUUUUGUUUUCUGUCGUUCUAUCAAGAAGCUGUGCCCUUAGCUAACUGUUACUCUUGCUUCUUCCGCUUUUCCUUGUUAAACAUGUCACAGGUCUUUAUUUUCUUUAAGUGGUUUCAUCGUGAGAGAAUCAGUCACGUGUUAAGAUUUGUAAUAUAAUCCGAGACCAGGGAGAAGAGUCGGUGAAAGAAGACUGGAAGAAAUUUAAAGACUAUUUACAGAAAUAUUGUAAAAUUAAGGAAUCUUAGAAGGAUGUUGGAUAGAAACUAAGUGGUUUCCAGCUGUAAUGCUUUAAGAGAUACGAAAAAAGGUUUACAAAUGGGUAAAAGCUUAAUGGUAAGGAUUUGCUGAACUAACAAACUGAAAUGGAAUACAAAAAAGGGAGGUACGAGGAGGUCCGGGGAAAUAAGUGUAAGGAAGAUAUGCUUUGGAAAAUUAACGUGUUUUUAACUGUUUUUAUUUUGUAUGUCUCUUUUUUUUUUUGUUAUAUCUUAAAAACUUUAUUCUUUUUUCUGUAUUUUGUAUUUUCUUGCAUUAUUAUUUUUUGUUUUUGUGUAAUUCUUGUACUCUUUGAAACUUUAAUAAAUAUCAUAAAAAAAAAAGAUUUGUAAUAUAACAGGAACAGCAAGUGCGAAAGAGAAGGACUGUUCUGUGUACCGAGUUGAAUAGGAUCCAAAAUGCAGCAUUCUGAUUGGUCCUAGAACAAUAGGAUCCAGAAUGCAGCAUUCUGAUUGGUCCUAGAACAAUAGGAUCCAGAAUGCAGCAGUCUGAUUGGUCCUAGAACAAUAGGAUCCAGAAUGCAGCAGUCUGAUUGGUCCACAGGAGCCACCCAGUCCAGCUCCACGUGGAAGUGAAUCCGCAAUCUGAUUGGCCUAUAGGAGAAUCCCAGAAUUAGCCAAUCAUGUGGGGCCCAUUGUGUAAAUAAUGUACCAGACAUUCUGGGGGAACUUCCAUUCCUCCUCACCACUAUGAGCUGAAUAAAGAGCAUGGAAUCCACUCUCGACUCCGAGUAUAUUUCAGGCUGUAACCAAAACAAGAAUUUAAAGAAGUGCUUUGGAAAGCAAGUUUUGUUUCCAAAUAAUACCGGGAACCACAAAGUCUAAUCAGAAUUAAAGUAUGCUGGCUCUGUUUCCACAGCUUUCACCCUGUGUGGAUUUGUAGAAAAGCCGGUAUUUGUUUUUAGUGGGAUAAGAUAAUACUUUAAGAUAGAAGAGGGGUGGUUGUUUUCUGUUUCUGUUAGGCGUCCCACUGGUUUUUUCCAUUACAUCCUUUCAGGAAAUGCAGAAUUUUGGGGCUCUGGCCCUUUAUCCCAAGGGACCACUGGUGGGGCAACUAAGCUACAUUAAGAGUUUUACAUUGCAACCCUACACAUUUCUACUCAGAACCAAGUCUUGUUGAGUUCCAUGGGGCUUAGUGGAUAUAGGAUUGCAGCCAUAAUUGAUCCCUUAAUAUAUCUGCAUAAAACAUAUUCACCUUCUUAUCCAACAGACUUUGGGGGAAAUUGCCUGCUUCAAAUGAGGGUGCUGGUGCUGGACUGUUUUUAAUGUAAUUAUCUUUUAUAUCUCAAAUACAUCUUUUUAAUAUAGGUAGAUGGAGUUUUAAUUCUAUUAAGGCUUAUUUGGUUUUUUUUAAUGAUUGCUUUUCCUCUGUGCUUUGAGCUGUUCUUAUUUUAACUGCAAACUGCUUUGAGUCCCUGUCAGGGGAAAAGGCAGGGUAUCAAUAAAUAUAUAAAAGUAUGAAGUGAUAAUUCUAAAGAAGAUCACUCAUUUUUCUUUUUUUAGAUGAUCCAUGGCGCUCAAAGUGGGCACCAGAGAGGAUGGCAUCUUUUGGCUUCUAAGGCAUCACCUAUUAACCGUGAUAUUUGUAAGUACCUGUCUUUAUGUUUGUAUUAACAAUGUUCUUAAACUGCCCCCAAACUGGCAUUCUCUGGGCAGUUAACAAUAAUGUUCAAUACUAUAAGAGAUCAAAAUAAAUACAUAAAACAAGCACAAUAUAAAUUAAAAUAAAUAAAACCAGUGGCACAAAACAUGGAUGGUUGCAUCUGCCUUAAGUCAUACUUAUAGUAGUACGACUCAUGCAACACCUUGGCGAUUAAUAUACACACAAUAAUUACCAAAAUGAUUAUAUAUUCUUUGUCACUCUUCUGAGAAAAAUACAAAACAUUAUGCAAAGCCACAGAGACUUGCAAACUACCCAACCUAAGAUGAACUUAUAAUGUCUGAUUUCAAUGGAUUUUUCAAGUGCUUCACUCAGUCUUUUGUUUUCUUUAUCUUUUUAGGUAAGUUCAUGAAGAUACCAACAAAUGGUAAGUUUGGUGUUGUUCACAAUAGUCUUACUAUUGAAAUGGCAGAGAAAGUGGGGGAAAAAGAUGCAACAUAACUACUAGGCAGUCCUCUCUGGGGAUAAAAGUCAACCAGGUGCCACCACGGAAAAGUCCCCAUUUUAGUAAUCAUCUGUUGCUCACCAUUUGGCUGGGGACAUCCAAGAAGGCAUAAACGAGUUAACUUUUUUUUUUUUUUUUUAGAAAAUGCUGCAGCCUAGUUGAAAGGACUCUUCAAACCAUGUUUUUUAUUGUUUAGUGGAAGGAAUGCCUUCUUUUGCUAUCACACCGAAGUUAUUCUGCCCGCUCUGUUACCUCUGUUUCUUCAGGUAGCUUAGUGAUGUAUAUGGCCGUGUUUCCAAAGAGCCUGCUGCUUCAUAACAAUGUUUGGCAGUUUAGGUCAUCAUGUCCCCCAAAUGAAUGGUUGGCGGUUACCAUAGGGAUAAAAAGGCCUUAAGAGUCUUUGUGAGCCACAGCAUAAAAAAAGAGAGAGAGAGAAAACCCUUGUUUUGGCAUGUGUCUGCAGUAGAGUAUUCACAGUGGAUUGUGAAGCUUAAUUUCAGGAAUAAUAGAAGGGUCAAGGAACAGCUCAUUCCUUUCUGCCUCCAUAUUCUGUUGAGUAGACGAUGAAAAUUCACCAGCUGCCACAGCAGUAAAAACAUAUUUUCCCCAGAAAAGAAUAUUUUCGAUUUCUGAGGAAAGGCGUUUAAAAUAAUGCGGUGAAAGGCAUAUUGCGCCGUUCUAUUCCCAAGCAGCAUUUCGUUUCAUUUAUUUAUUUUAUCCUGCCUUUCCUCCAAAAUACGGCGCCGUUUUAAUUGUUCCUCCUUGUGAGCUGUUUGUCCUAAAUAAGCUAUACAUGUCAAACCACUCUCAACAUUGUUGGGACUAUAGAAUAAUACUGUUGUUCGAACCAGCCAACAUUCACAAAACAGUGCGUAAGCUUUUGAGUUACACAGAGCUCUUCUCUCAAACUGGAUGCUCAACAAUAUACAAAAGAGUGGGUUGGGGGAAAACGACUGGGUGAGCAGAGUGAGAGAUUAUGCUGGGCUGGAUAAACUUUGGGUCUGAUGCAGCAGGGCUUUUCAUCUGUUCAUUGGUGUUGGCGUGUAGUCAAGUCCUAUCUGCCGUUUGUUUCAGUUCUAAAUUGCAAGGGAGUGAGGGGUUACAAAACCAAAGCAAAUUAGAAUUGUGCCUUUGGAAGAGCACCUCAGGUCGCCUAGAGACAUACUGGAACCAAGGAGCAAAUGUAGGUUGUUCAUUUGGAUUAAGACGGUCUCUCGGUUAACAAAAUUUCAGCAGAAAUUCUAGCUAAGAGUUCUGAAUUUGUGGUUAGAUUUAACUGAUCUUAGAUUGGUCAUUUGAAUUUGCUGUGUGGGCACAUCUAAUUCAGGAUUAAGCUGGUUUAAUACCCAGGGAGUAUUAGGCACUGAAAUUCUAUGAGAGAGACUACCAUUCUCAGGAAUUUUUUUUUGAGGAAGCCAUCAUGUGAUCAGGCAUAGCUAUCACCACACAGUGCACCACAUCAGUGCAAUAUGUGAAUCAGCUACUAUUUCCGUGUGUGUGUGUGUGUGUGUGUGUGUGUGUAUUUUAAACCCCUGGCCCAAUAACAUAAUAGAACCAGCAGAUCUGUUGACCCCUGUGGCAGACCCCAAAAUGGCGCCAGGGAAGAAGGGGUGAGGGAAGAUCUAUAUAAGGAACAAGCAGGGAAUAAAGAUUGGGAUCAAGCACUGUCAGAAACUACGUUCUCCAGAACAGGAUCUACACAUCACUCUCCAUUUAGAUCAGAUACCUUUUCAAUUAUAGAGUCAGUAAGGUAUAGUAUGACUGGAACUUCAGCAAAUAAUUAAUAGCCCCCAAAACUUUGCCCCGCAAAGGGAGAGAAGGUUGCUAGCCAGUAUGAUCAAGGGUGAUUUCCCUUCUCCCAUGGGUAACGUAAUCCACUGAUACCUUAACUGACAAAUUGUUAGAGGAGGCCCCAGAUAGUUUAAUGUAUGCAAUGCAGGAAAUGUUUGUCAGGCUCAGCGCUGGAUUUAGGGCAGUGCGGAUGGUUCCUUGCACAGGGCGCCAAGCUGAUUGGGUGUAUAAUGAUAAUGAUAAUGAUAAUAAUAAACAAUAUUUAAUAUUAUUAAUUGAUAAGCUAUAUUUAUAUAGGUACCUACUGAGAAGUUCCAUAAAAAGCAACUGUACAGAAAGGAAUUAUUUAUUGAUGUAUACCAGGGAUCAGCAAACUUUUUCAGUAG
This is a non-coding RNA of Podarcis lilfordi (Lilford's wall lizard), 5309 nucleotides long. Lineage: Eukaryota; Metazoa; Chordata; Lepidosauria; Squamata; Lacertidae. The record is from the annotation of a GenBank genome assembly.